GACGAACCUGGCGAACGUUGUUCGGAAUCACUGGGCUUAAAGGGCGUGUAGGCGGGCUGUCAAGUCUGGGGUGAAAUCCCACGGCUCAACCGUGGAACUGCCUCAGAUACUGACGGGCUCGAGGGAGGUAGGGGCGAGCGGAACGGGUGGUGGAGCGGUGAAAUGCGUUGAUAUCGCGCGGAACUCCGGUGGCGAAAGCGGCUUGCUGGACCUUUUCUGACGCUGAGGCGCGAAAGCUAGGGGAGCAAACGGG
Molecule: ribosomal RNA, 253 nt
Filed under: uncultured bacterium
Lineage: Bacteria
Description: partial 16S ribosomal RNA
Rfam family: Bacterial small subunit ribosomal RNA
Source: RNAcentral